GUGACCAUGGUGCAACGGUUAGCACAGCGGGUUGUGGUCCCGUUAAUGAGGGUUCGAUUCCCUCUGGUCACCCCA
Molecule: transfer RNA, 75 nt
Filed under: Candidatus Uhrbacteria bacterium
Lineage: Bacteria; Candidatus Uhriibacteriota
Description: tRNA-His
Rfam family: tRNA
About the family: Transfer RNA (tRNA) molecules are approximately 80 nucleotides in length. Their secondary structure includes four short double-helical elements and three loops (D, anti-codon, and T loops).
Source: RNAcentral